This 392-nucleotide ribosomal RNA is filed under the name uncultured bacterium. Its description in RNAcentral is "partial 16S ribosomal RNA". It matches the Rfam family "Bacterial small subunit ribosomal RNA", at positions 523 to 918 of the family's 1533-position model. The record is from RNAcentral.
AUACGGAGGACGCGAGCGUUAUCCGGAUUCAUUGGGUUUAAAGGGUGCGCAGGCGGCCGUGCAAGUCAGCGGUGAAAGCCCGGCGCCUAACGCCGGAACUGCCUUUGAUACUUCCGAGCUGGAAUACGGAUGCCGUGGAGGAAUGAGUAGUGUAGCGGUGAAAUGCAUAGAUAUUACUCAGAACACCGAUUGCGAAGGCAUCUCACGAAUCCGUCAUUGACGCUGAGGCACGAAAGCGUGGGGAUCAAACAGGAUUAGAUACCCUGGUAGUCCACGCAGUAAACGAUGAUGACUAACCGUCGGCGAUACACAGUCGGUGGCCAAGCGAAAGCGAUAAGUCAUCCACCUGGGGAGUACGUUCGCAAGAAUGAAACUCAAAUGAAUUGACGGGG